This 75-nucleotide transfer RNA is filed under the name Candidatus Gracilibacteria bacterium 28_42_T64. Its description in RNAcentral is "tRNA-Glu". It matches the Rfam family "tRNA". From Rfam's summary of the family: Transfer RNA (tRNA) molecules are approximately 80 nucleotides in length. The record is from RNAcentral. Lineage: Bacteria; Candidatus Altimarinota.
GCUCCCAUCGUCUAGUGGUUAGGAUACGGCCUUCUCAAGGCUGGGACAGGAGUUCAAUUCUCCUUGGGAGUACCA